GGCAAUACCCGAAGUCCGUGAGGUAACCGCAAGGAGCCAGCGGCCGAAGGUAGGGUCAGCGAUUGGGGUGAAGUCGUAACAAGGUAGCCGUAGGUGAACCUGCAGAAGGAUCA
This 113-nucleotide ribosomal RNA is filed under the name uncultured eukaryote. RNAcentral's name for it is "partial small subunit ribosomal RNA". It matches the Rfam family "Bacterial small subunit ribosomal RNA", at positions 1413 to 1525 of the family's 1533-position model. The record is from RNAcentral.